GAUGAACGCUGGCGGCGUGCCUAAUACAUGCAAGUCGAGCGAACGGACGAGAAGCUUGCUUCUCUGAUGUUAGCGGCGGACGGGUGAGUAACACGUGGAUAACCUACCUAUAAGACUGGGAUAACUUCGGGAAACCGGAGCUAAUACCGGAUAAUAUUUUGAACCGCAUGGUUCAAAAGUGAAAGACGGUCUUGCUGUCACUUAUAGAUGGAUCCGCGCUGCAUUAGCUAGUUGGUAAGGUAACGGCUUACCAAGGCAACGAUGCAUAGCCGACCUGAGAGGGUGAUAGGCCACACUGGAACUGAGACACGGUCCAGACUCCUACGGGAGGCAGCAGUAGGGAAUCUUCCGCAAUGGGCGAAAGCCUGACGGAGCAACGCCGAGUGAGUGAUGAAGGUCUUCGGAUCGUAAAACUCUGUUAUUAGGGAAGAACAUAUGUGUAAGUAACUGUGCACAUCUUGACGGUACCUAAUCAGAAAGCCACGGCUAACUACGUG
Molecule: ribosomal RNA, 497 nt
Filed under: uncultured bacterium
Lineage: Bacteria
Description: partial 16S ribosomal RNA
Rfam family: Bacterial small subunit ribosomal RNA
Source: RNAcentral